This 502-nucleotide ribosomal RNA is filed under the name uncultured bacterium. RNAcentral describes it as "partial 16S ribosomal RNA". It matches the Rfam family "Bacterial small subunit ribosomal RNA", at positions 28 to 507 of the family's 1533-position model. The record is from RNAcentral.
GACGAACGCUGGCGGCGUGCCUAAUACAUGCAAGUCGAACGAACCGCGACUGAGUGCUUGCACUUGGUCAAGGUGAGUGGCGAACGGGUGAGUAACACGUGGGUAACCUACCUCAUAGUGGGGGAUAACAGUCGGAAACGACUGCUAAUACCGCAUAGGACAUAGGCUCACAUGAUCCAGUGAGGAAAGGUGGCGCAAGCUAUCGCUAAGAGAUGGACCCGCGGUGCAUUAGCUAGUUGGUAGGGUAAAGGCCUACCAAGGCGAUGAUGCAUAGCCGACCUGAGAGGGUGAUCGGCCACAUUGGGACUGAGACACGGCCCAGACUCCUACGGGAGGCAGCAGUAGGGAAUCUUCCGCAAUGGACGCAAGUCUGACGGAGCAACGCCGCGUGAGUGAAGAAGGUCUUCGGAUCGUAAAGCUCUGUUGUUAGAGAAGAACAGCGCAUAGAGUAACUGCUAUGCGUGUGACGGUAUCUAACCAGAAAGCCACGGCUAACUACGCG